RNAcentral lists this ribosomal RNA (755 nucleotides) under uncultured bacterium. RNAcentral describes it as "bacterial SSU rRNA". It matches the Rfam family "Bacterial small subunit ribosomal RNA", at positions 8 to 796 of the family's 1533-position model. The record is from RNAcentral.
AGAGUUUGAUCAUGGCUCAGGAUAAACGCUGGCGGCGUGCAUCAGGCAUGCAAGUCGAACGUCCAGUAAUGGACGUGGCGGACGGGUGAGUAACACGUGAGUAACCUGCCCAAAAGUGGGGAAUAACGCGUCAAAAGACGUGCUAAUACCGCAUGUGAUAGCUGGUCCUCGGAUCAGUUAUGAAAGGCCUUGGUCGCUUUUGGAGGGGCUUGCGGCCGAUUAGCUUGUUGGUGGGGUAACGGCCUACCAAGGCGACGAUCGGUAGCUGGUCUGAGAGGAUGGUCAGCCACACGGGGACUGAGACACGGCCCCGACUCCUACGGGAGGCAGCAGCUAGGAAUCUUGGGAAUGGGCGAAAGCCUGACCCAGCAACGCCGCGUGGGCGAUGAAGGCCUUAGGGUCGUAAAGCCCUUUUGUGGGGGAAGAUGAUGACGGUACCCCACGAAUAAGCCACGGCUAACUACGUGCCAGCAGCCGCGGUAAUACGUAGGUGGCGAGCGUUGUCCGGAUUUAUUGGGCGUAAAGCGCGUGCAGGCGGUUUGUUAAGUUCAGGGUGAAAGCUCCCGGCUCAACUGGGAGAGGUCCUUGGAUACUGGCAGACUUGAGGGAGGUAGAGGAGAGUGGAAUUCUCGGUGUAGUGGUGAUAUGCGUAGAUAUCGAGAGGAACACCGUGGCGAAGGCGGCUCUCUGGGCCUUUCCUGACGCUGAGACGCGAAAGCGUGGGGAGCGAACCGGAUUAGAUACCCUAGUAGUCC